Molecule: ribosomal RNA, 460 nt
Filed under: uncultured bacterium
Lineage: Bacteria
Description: partial 16S ribosomal RNA
Rfam family: Bacterial small subunit ribosomal RNA
Source: RNAcentral
CCUACGGGGGGCAGCAGUGAGGAAUAUUGGUCAAUGGACGAGAGUCUGAACCAGCCAAGUAGCGUGAAGGAUGACUGCCCUAUGGGUUGUAAACUUCUUUUAUAAAGGAAUAAAACGAGGCACGUGUGCCUUUUUGCAUGUACUUUAUGAAUAAGGAUCGGCUAACUCCGUGCCAGCAGCCGCGGUAAUACGGAGGAUCCGAGCGUUAUCCGGAUUUAUUGGGUUUAAAGGGAGCGUAGAUGGGUUGUUAAGUCAGUUGUGAAAGUUUGCGGCUCAACCGUAAAAUUGCAAUUGAUACUGGCAGUCGUGAGUACAGUUGAGGUAGGCGGAAUUCGUGGUGUAGCGGUGAAAUGCUUAGAUAUCACGAAGAACUCCGAUUGCGAAGGCAGCUUACUAAACUGCCACUGACAUUGAUGCUCGAAAGUGUGGGUAUCAAACAGGAUUAGAUACCCGAGUAGUC